AACGCACGAGACCUGCGGACCUGCGGAAGGAUCAUUAUUGAAUAAAUGUAUGAUAAGCUGUUGCUGGCCUCUCUCUUGGGGCAUGUGCACGCAUGUCAUUUUUAUUUCUCUACCUGUGCACUGUUUUGUAGGCCUGAGGGGAGAAGAUAUUGUCUGAGCUAUUGGACAAGUUUAUAGAGGACUGCUGUGCUUUCUGUCAUCCAAAAAGGGAGCCAGCUUUGCCUUGUCUCCUAGGUUCUA
Molecule: unclassified non-coding RNA, 240 nt
Filed under: soil metagenome
Description: partial contains 5.8S ribosomal RNA, internal transcribed spacer 2, and large subunit ribosomal RNA
Source: RNAcentral